RNAcentral lists this transfer RNA (72 nucleotides) under Camelus ferus (Wild Bactrian camel). It matches the Rfam family "tRNA". From Rfam's summary of the family: Transfer RNA (tRNA) molecules are approximately 80 nucleotides in length. Lineage: Eukaryota; Metazoa; Chordata; Mammalia; Artiodactyla; Camelidae. The record is from Rfam by way of RNAcentral.
GGGUAUAUAGCUCAGUGGUAGAGCAUGCGCCUAGCAUGCAUGAGGUCCUGGGUUCAAUCCCCAGUACCUCCA